RNAcentral lists this long non-coding RNA (1833 nucleotides) under Centruroides sculpturatus (bark scorpion). RNAcentral's name for it is "uncharacterized LOC111634710". The record is from RNAcentral. Lineage: Eukaryota; Metazoa; Arthropoda; Arachnida; Scorpiones; Buthidae.
UUGGAGAUAUAUUUUGAAUCUUAAAUUUAUUUUUAUAGCUGGAUUCAAAUCCCAUAUGUCUUUCAUUUACUGUACAACGCUGGUAUCCAGUGGCCAAUAUGACUCGUUUUAUAUCAGCUAAAGUUUAUGACUAUUAUGCUCCAGAGCGAUUUAAUGAAACUAUGAUGGAUGUGUACAGCUUAUUUGUACUUAACAUAUGCCAAGUCUGUGGUUCUUACCAAUGUCCCUACUGUUCCAUCUUUAGUAGCACAUCAACAUUUACUUGUAAUAUUUUCUUAACUAUUUUAUGCCUUAUAGUUUUAUAUUAUCGUUUCAGAUAAGUAAUUGGAGUAAAUUGGAAAAUUAUUUUACAUUUUACUAAUCAAAUUGUCCAAUAAAUAAAUAAAUCAAAUGGACCAAGAUGAAAGGUUGUGCAUGAACAAAUAAUAUGACAUUUUAAAUUGUGCAAAUAAGAACAUUUUUUAAUAACAAAAUCAUAUAUCAUCCUUUACUCAGGUAAAAGAUACAUGCAAUAAAAAUAAUCUGCCAUUUUUAAUUUUAUGCUUAACCAAGUUAUAUAUAAUUUCAGAAUAUCAUUGUAAUAUAAUCAUGGUGUAUCUCAUUCCAUUUUUUUUUUCAUUUUUUUGCAUAAUAGUGUACUUGUAAUAAUAUAUUAAUUAUAGUUUUAUACAAAACGUUUUGAAACAAAAUGUAUUUUUUAUAUUAUUUCUUUAAGCACUUAGUUACAGAACAAUUUUUGUCAUAUGAAGUCAUAUUUGGGAAAUGUGCCACUAGUUGUGAUAAUACAUUCAUAUAAUUGUGCAUUCUUUAAAUAGUUUUUGUAAUAUUUUUUUUACAUUUAUGAAAAAUAUUUUGUAUUUAAUACUUUGUUUACUGUGUGAUUAAUUAAAUAUUUUAAAAUAAUUUUUCAAAAUAUAAAUCAAAACAUUUUAAAAAUUUCUCUGAUCAUUUUAAUAACUAAACAAUUUACUCAAAAACUGGAAAAUAUAUUUCUAGAAGGCAGCAGACAAUUGUAAGAAAUUCUAGCAAGCAUUUAACGAAAAUUGACACACGUUUUUGGCUUCAUUAAUAGGCCUGCUUUGGGUCAUAAAUCUUAAACUUCUGAAGCAGACCUAUUAAGAGGCUAAAAAAUUCUUCAAUUUUUAUUAAACACUUGCUGGAAUUUAUUACGGCUGCCUUCAUAUCUUCUAGAGCAUUUUAAUAAAAUCUACUUUAGUAAAUAUUAACUGCAAAAAAAAAUUAAGGUAGCAAUUUAAAUUGUUAUCUGAUAUAUAAAAUUAUUUAUAUUUUGUAAAUAUUAGUUUUACAUUCAGGAAAUUGACAAUAUAGUUUUUAUUACUUUUUUAUUUCUUGUAUUGAAUUUUUACAUUAAAUAAAAUAUAUUAUUUGUUAUGCAAAAAAUAUAAUUGCAUAAGUUUAUUUUGCAAAUGCACGGGAUUAAUUUUAGAUUAGCUAAGUAUCAAAAUAUAUAUGUGAAACAUUUAUUUAUAGUUUACAAAUUGAAGUAAACAAAGUAUUAACAAUAAAGUCAAAUGACUAUAUUUGUAAUUUAUAUAAUUAAAAAAUAUAUAUAUUUAAUAGAAUAAUCAAUUUAAACAAAAUGAAAGAAUUUAGAUGAAAGUAUUAAAUACUUUUGUCAAUGGUGAAAUGCUAAAAAUUGUCUCUGAGAGACUAUUAUUUAAAAAAAUUUUUUUUAAAUGCAAUUAAAUAUUUUAUCAAAAUUAUUGUCAGAAUGACAAUUGAAAAUAAAUAGCUGCAAUAUAUUUAUGGGAACAAUUUAAUUUCAAAUAUUUUUCAAUUUAUUGUAUAGAUUGUGGUACAAGUUUUAUUNAA